GUGCUAUGAUGUGUUUGUUUAACCCCUCAUUCUGAAAAAAGAAUGUGGUAAUUACUAGAACUGAGCACA
Molecule: small nucleolar RNA, 69 nt
Organism: Dromiciops gliroides (monito del monte)
Lineage: Eukaryota; Metazoa; Chordata; Mammalia; Microbiotheria; Microbiotheriidae
Product: small nucleolar RNA SNORD63
Exons: 1
Source: RefSeq, a predicted model, not a curated record